AAACAAAUAACCAUUGUUUUAUCGUAAAGUGUAUAUGAAAUUUCGAGUUAAAGUAUUCUUACGCUAUUCAUGAAAAAUAACAGUAUUUAAGCAUAAAAAUACACUACAGUCAAGACUUCUUCACACUAACCGACUCCCGAUUGUCUCCAAUCCAAUGGCAUUUCUCAUUUUCAUUUAAUUUUUUAAGAACUCAGUAGUAUUAAAGUUCUGUUGGUGUCCAGCAACUUAAAGUGAAAAUAGUUAUUGUUAUAAAAAAAAAGGAUCUACAAAAAAAGCAACCCAAAAGUAGUCCAGCUUGGGUGACCCAGAGUGCAGCACCUUUCUGAAUUUCGUAUGUUGAGCUGCUUUCCCUUUACAGCAGCUCCUUUCUGUUAUCUCCGCCAUAGUUUAGGUUAAAUGUAUGUCGCCGUUUUACAAGACCACCGUUCUUCCCGGUUCCUCGACUCACUCCAUUCAUGGUUACGGACUUACAGGCACAUUCCGGCCACCUAUGUGCAGGUA
This is a long non-coding RNA of Macrobrachium nipponense, 501 nucleotides long. RefSeq lists it as uncharacterized. The transcript has 3 exons. NCBI's taxonomy places the organism in Eukaryota, Metazoa, Arthropoda, Malacostraca, Decapoda, Palaemonidae. The record is from RefSeq and is a predicted model, not a curated record.